UACGUAGGUGGCAAGCGUUGUCCGGAUUUACUGGGCGUAAAGGAUGCGUAGGCGGAUAUUUAAGUGAGAUGUGAAAUUCCCGAGCUUAACUUGGGAGCUGCAUUUCAAACUGGAUAUCUAGAGUGUGGGAGAGGAGAAUGGAAUUCCUAGUGUAGCGGUGAAAUGCGUUGAGAUUAGGAAGAACACCAGUGGCGAAGGCGAUUCUCUGGACCAUAACUGACGCUGAGGCAUGAAAGCGUGGGUAGCAAACA
Molecule: ribosomal RNA, 251 nt
Filed under: uncultured prokaryote
Description: partial 16S ribosomal RNA
Rfam family: Bacterial small subunit ribosomal RNA
Source: RNAcentral